GACGAACGCUGGCGGCGUGCCUAAUACAUGCAAGUAGAACGCUGAAGAGAGGAGCUUGCUCUUCUUGGAUGAGUUGCGAACGGGUGAGUAACGCGUAGGUAACCUGCCUGGUAGCGGGGGAUAACUAUUGGAAACGAUAGCUAAUACCGCAUAAAAUUGAUUAUUGCAUGAUAAUUAAUUGAAAGAUGCAAUUGCAUCACUACCAGAUGGACCUGCGUUGUAUUAGCUAGUUGGUGAGGUAACGGCUCACCAAGGCGACGAUACAUAGCCGACCUGAGAGGGUGAUCGGCCACACUGGGACUGAGACACGACCCAGACUCCUACGGGAGGCAGCAGUAGGGAAUCUUCGGCAAUGGGGGGAACCCUGACCGAGCAACGCCGCGUGAGUGAAGAAGGUUUUCGGAUCGUAAAGCUCUGUUGUAAGAGAAGAACGGGUGUGAGAGUGGAAGGUUCACACUGUGACGGUAUCUUACCAGAAAGGGACGGCUAACUACGUGC
RNAcentral lists this ribosomal RNA (498 nucleotides) under uncultured Streptococcus sp. RNAcentral's name for it is "bacterial SSU rRNA". It matches the Rfam family "Bacterial small subunit ribosomal RNA", at positions 28 to 508 of the family's 1533-position model. Lineage: Bacteria; Bacillati; Bacillota; Bacilli; Lactobacillales; Streptococcaceae. The record is from RNAcentral.